UGUUCUCUGGCUGCUAAUUCUGCUUUCUCCUGCCCCGGAGGCACUCGUGUAUCCGUGCUUUUCUAUACCUUAUAGCAGGGAAGGGGCAAAGAGCAGACUUCUCCUGAGCGGAGAAAAUAACCUCUGAUUAGAUCAGCCAUGCGCCACAGUACCUUGGAACCUCCUCAGCAUCUCUUCGAGAACAAUGUUUUGUUGAGAAAUAAUAUGGACUUUCUGUUCCAGGUCUAGGAAGGGCUCCGUCGGCCGCCAGGCACUGUCCUUCUCCCACCUGGAUGCAAACAGUUUUCCUUAGUCCUGGGAUGUACCGCAAUUGCACGCCUGUAGCUUAAGAUGGUGGGACUUUCCCUCCUCCCUCUGCUUCCCAAGUAACUUGGGGAUGGGGAAUGAACCAGCUUCCUCCAAAAGGUCCCCAGCCUUGGAGCUGCCAACCAGCUCUUGGGCCUGCGGGGCCAGAGAUCCUGAGGUUCUUACGGCCGAGAGAGACCUCUUGUUCUAGGGGUGCUGUCUCCCAUGGCAUCUCCUCACUGGGGACUUCUUUGUCCCCACAACUCUCUAUUCCUCACUUCAAAUCCUGCCUCAACUGGCAAAAUUUUCACCUCUGUUCCAGAAACCUCAGCCACAGCUGGGAUGUUGCCCCUGAGCCCUUCCUCUGGUUCAGCAUGCUGAGAUGUGUGUGAUUAAAGGGCGCGUACCUGUUCACAGUGCUUUUGCCAUCCUAGAACAGACAGAGAGAGAGAAAAACCCUCAGUGUCCCAUUCCAAAGUUAGGGAAUGACUCCAGCUCAGGUGAUGCUGCGUUUGCAUUCGCCAUGAUUUCUGCUGGAGUUUCUCCUUCCCUGCCCAGAUGCCCAGCAAAAUGUCCAACCUGCAUGAAUUUACUCGGGGGUUGCUCAAGGCUCCUCUCCAUCUCGCAAAUCAGGAUAUUGAGGAGAGAAAUCCUCCCUGCCAUCUUGGCCUCCUCUUCCUCCUGCCUCCUCAUGAUCUCUUUGUCCAACUCGCCCAGCCGGGCUAGGAGGACAAGCUCUUGCUCCUUCAGAAACCGGCGCAGCUGCCGAAAUUCAGACACAAUCUUCUGCCUCUCAGCCUCCGUCUGCAUCUGCAGGACACACGGAUUGCACCAUGGAAGAGACGUUGGACAGUACCAGCCCAGCGGUACAACAGCUCUAUUUUUCGCUGGGUGAUGGUGAUAGCUAUUUACCAAGUAAUCCUGGCAUUGCCUCUCUCCAGUCAUUUUCAAUUCUAGCAGCUCCUCCCUUUGUUUUUUGAGAUUCUCCAAGUCUCCGCGAGCUUGUUCCUGGAGGAAGAAAAACCAUUUGGCAAGAUACACAGAGAAGAGAAGAAAUGCAAUGCUUGAAAAAGGAAAACACGUAUUCACUGCACAGAUGGGAGGAUUAAUGAGAAGUCAUAGGACAACAGAGGAGACCUGACUGCUUCUCCAGGAAGGCGGUUUCAUUCUCAGCUAACAGAGCUAUAGAGAACUGUAAAGCAAGCUGACUUGAAGCCUGUGAGAAGCUCCAAGAAACUGCAGCACCACUUAAGGUGGUCAGGUAACAUCACUUCCAGAGAGGACCAACCCAAGCUCAGUCAUGGACCUGACCAUGUUCUCCUGAGCAGAUUCCUUUACGCAGGCUGUAGUGGGAACUCCGUGAGCCUUUUGCCCAUCACAGCUUGAGGAAGCUUCUUUUACAUCACCCUUGUAGAGACUCUCUGCUGACCCCGACGGCGCAGUACAGCCCCUCCGCUACGUCCACCUCCCAGUAGUGCCUGCCGGAGGCGAACGCCUCGCAGCCCAGCACGCAUGGACUGGCGUCGAAGCGUUCGGGGCCGUCGGGUGGCUCCUGCAGCAGGUAUUCCCAUCUCACGCUUUUCUGAUCGUUGGACAGGAUGAGGCGAGGGUGGGCGGUCUCUGGGUCCAGAGUCACAUUUGCUGGGGUAAAAGACAAGGAGGGAGAGAAAGAAUGAACUUAUUUGAAGUAUCCUUCCCUGGAGGUCUGAUAUAGUCUUGGGAAUCUAACGGGAGACGUUGCGAUGGGGUCGGUCUCCGUCCUUCGUAACGGAGCAGGACCGAAGUGCAGAAAGGAAGGGGGUUCUCGGGACUGUGCUAACACCUCGUUGCACGGUGGUUGUUCCACCUUACCCCUCUUCUGGGCUCCCGCUCUCAUGCGCCGAGCUCCCGGAGCGGACCCCUGUUUGGCAUGUAUCAAAUUACUUACCCAGUUUUCCAUCACCUUUCCCUAAAAAAAAGCACAAUAAAAAUAUUAUUAUUGGUGAUGUGACCUUAAAGAUGAAACCAAAAGUAGUAGCAGUAGAGAAAAAAGCACUUACUAUGUUCUUCAAU
Molecule: long non-coding RNA, 2337 nt
Organism: Rhea pennata
Lineage: Eukaryota; Metazoa; Chordata; Aves; Rheiformes; Rheidae
Exons: 3
Source: RefSeq, a predicted model, not a curated record